GCCCGAGUGGUGGAAUUGGUAGACACGUUGGAUUCAAAAUCCAAUUUCUUCGGAAGUGACGGUUCAAGUCCGUCCUCGGGUACCA
RNAcentral lists this transfer RNA (85 nucleotides) under Parashewanella curva. RNAcentral describes it as "Shewanellaceae bacterium C51 tRNA-Leu". It matches the Rfam family "tRNA". From Rfam's summary of the family: Transfer RNA (tRNA) molecules are approximately 80 nucleotides in length. Their secondary structure includes four short double-helical elements and three loops (D, anti-codon, and T loops). The record is from RNAcentral. Lineage: Bacteria; Pseudomonadati; Pseudomonadota; Gammaproteobacteria; Alteromonadales; Shewanellaceae.